GAUGAAGAACGUAGCAAAUGCGAUAAGUAGUGUGAAUUGCAGAAUUCAGUGAAUCAUCGAAUCUUUGAACGCACAUUGCGCCCUUUGGUAUUCCAAAGGGCAUGCCUGUUCGAGCGUCAUUUGUACCCUCAAGCUUUGCUUGGUGUUGGGCGUCUUGUCUCUAGCUUUGCUGGAGACUCGCCUUAAAGUCAUUGGCAGCCGGCCUACUGGUUUCGGAGCGCAGCACAAGUCGCACUCUCUAUCAGCAAAGGUCUAGCAUCCAUUAAGCCUUUUUUUCAACUUUUGACCUCGGAUCAGGUAGGGAUACCCGCUGAACUUAAGCAUAUCAAUAAGCGGAGGA
RNAcentral lists this unclassified non-coding RNA (340 nucleotides) under soil metagenome. RNAcentral describes it as "partial contains 5.8S ribosomal RNA, internal transcribed spacer 2, and large subunit ribosomal RNA". The stretch from base 1 to 119 matches the Rfam family "5.8S ribosomal RNA", at positions 35 to 154 of the family's 154-position model. The record is from RNAcentral.